UGAGGGCUAGUCUAACCAAGACAGCUGAUUUCGGCUCAACUAAUUAUGGUUUAACUCCAUAGCCCCCGU
This 69-nucleotide transfer RNA is filed under the name Anilany helenae. RNAcentral's name for it is "tRNA-Arg". The record is from RNAcentral. Lineage: Eukaryota; Metazoa; Chordata; Amphibia; Anura; Microhylidae.